RNAcentral lists this non-coding RNA (29 nucleotides) under Mus musculus (house mouse). The record is from RNAcentral. Lineage: Eukaryota; Metazoa; Chordata; Mammalia; Rodentia; Muridae.
UGAGUGCCCACACUUUGGACAGCCCCUGG